The sequence is a ribosomal RNA, 340 nucleotides long. It matches the Rfam family "Microsporidia small subunit ribosomal RNA", at positions 752 to 1210 of the family's 1311-position model.
UGGAUAGUAAUAUUAAUGAAAUUUAACGGAUUUGGCGGCAAGAUAGCCACUUAGAGGAACCUGCCCUGUAAACGAUGAGCCACGAUUAACCUUACUUUUACUAGAAUUCAGUUUGUAUACCGCUGUUGUCAGUUAGUUUCUUUAGAAAACUUUCGUACAUGAUAAAUUCAAGGACUUCAAGUAAAGGUGCAGCUUAUGUAAAAGAUAGAGGUGGGUUACAAUUAAAAGAGUAAUAUGGAUAAAGUUAGGAAAAAACUUUUGAAGGUGGAUUUAAUAGUAAAGUUUAAUAAGACUUGAUUAGAGCUCUAUCUUGUGUACACACCGCCCGUCGCUCGCGGGA